Vidua chalybeata is the source of this 1048-nucleotide long non-coding RNA. RefSeq lists it as uncharacterized. Lineage: Eukaryota; Metazoa; Chordata; Aves; Passeriformes; Viduidae. The record is from RefSeq and is a predicted model, not a curated record. The transcript has 4 exons.
CAAGCCAGGUUGGACAGUCCUGCUGCGGGCUGGGCCCCUUCCCCCCUCCCUGGGCCGCCCACUGGCCCCCCGCAUCGGCUCUGGUCUGGCCGGGCCGGGCCCCAGCAGUUGCCGGGCAGGAAGGAGGGGGAGGCUGCAGAGCACUGGCUGUAGCAGGGCUGGUCACGGCUGUAAAGGUCUUACCGUCAGACACCCUCCACCAGCGCAGCUGAGACCAGAGACCCCUGCAGCCCGUGCAGAAAACCAAAAACCAACCAUGAGAUCGAUCCUUACACAGCCCAGGCGCAGCCCUGCCACAGGUUACCAGCAGGUCAGGAGAGUGAACCUCGUUUUUCACACUAUAAAAGACAAAAGCCAGAAGGAGUUAUUCUUCAAUAUGUAGAUGACAUCCUGAUUGCAGCCAGAACGAGAGAUGACUGUGUAUGACUUACUGUAAGUCUGUUAAACUACUUGCGACUGAGUGGGACAGAGUUUCUAGAGACAAGGAACAGAUUGCUAAAGAAGCAGUAGUUUACUUGGAGCAUGAGAUCUGUGGACAUCAGCAGCUCAGCAAAGAACAGAAAGAAACCAUCUGUUGACUCCCAGCGCCCCAUGCCGUAAGAAAGAUGCAGUCUUUCCUGAGAAAGAUGCAGCUUUAUGAAAAAUGGCAGAAGGAUGACAGGCUAUGCAGUGACCACUCAAGAUAAGGUGAUCAAGGCAAAGGUCCUGCCAGCAGAUGUGUCAUCACAGAAAGCUGAAUUGAUUGCACUGACGAGAGCCCGAGACCUGAGCAAAGGAAAGAAUAUAAAUAUAUGGACUGACUCUAAAUAUGCAUUUAGUGUUGUCCAUGCCCAUGGAGCCAUCUGGGAGGAGAGAGGACUUCUGAACAAUCAAGCUUGGAACCAAGGACAACUGAUCCAAAUUUCAUGCCCAAGAGCAUAAACAACGUGGACUGAAGAGAGAAGAACAAGAAGGAUAACACUUCAUAACUUAAAGCUAUAAUUGGACAAUUAACUUCAAUAUGCUAAUGGACCAGAACUUCUAAAAGUGAGAGACAUCAUGACCAUUC